UACGUAGGGGGGCAAGCGUUGUCCGGAUUUAUUGGGCGUAAAGAGCGUGUAGGCGGCCUUACAGGUCAGCUGUGAAAACUCGAGGCUCAACCUCGAGACGUCGGUUGAAACCGUAUGGCUAGAGUCCGGAAGAGGAGAGUGGAAUUCCCGGUGUAGCGGUGAAAUGCGCAGAUAUCGGGGAAGAACACCCGUGGCGAAGGCGGCACUCUGGGACGGUACUGACGGCUGAGGAGCGAAAAGCAUUGGGGGAGCCGAACAGG
This 260-nucleotide ribosomal RNA is filed under the name uncultured bacterium. RNAcentral describes it as "partial 16S ribosomal RNA". It matches the Rfam family "Bacterial small subunit ribosomal RNA", at positions 524 to 776 of the family's 1533-position model. The record is from RNAcentral.